GACGAACGCUGGCGGCGUGCCUAAUACAUGCAAGUCGAACGCAGUGGGGACGGGUGAGUAACACGUGGGUAACCUCCCAUCAGAGGGGAUAACCCUUGGCAACAGGUGCUAAACCGAUAUUGGAGGCUGGUCCCUCGUUGGAUUAGCUAGUUGGUGAGGUAACGGCCUACCAAGGCCACGAUGCAUAGCCGACCUGAGAGGGUGAUCGGCCACACUGGGACUGAGACACGGCCCAGACGCCUACGGGAGGCAGCAGUAGGGAAUCUUCGGCAAUGGACGAAAGUCUGACCGAGCAACGCCGCGUGAGUGAAGAAGGUUUUCGGAUCGUAAAACUCUGUUGUUAGAGAAGCGGUAUCUAACCAGAAAGCCACGACUAACUACGUGCCAGCAGCCGCGGUAAUAC
Molecule: ribosomal RNA, 403 nt
Filed under: uncultured bacterium
Lineage: Bacteria
Description: partial 16S ribosomal RNA
Rfam family: Bacterial small subunit ribosomal RNA
Source: RNAcentral